Molecule: ribosomal RNA, 491 nt
Filed under: Cladocopium sp. clade C
Lineage: Eukaryota; Dinophyceae; Suessiales; Symbiodiniaceae
Description: partial 23S ribosomal RNA
Source: RNAcentral
CGACCUGCAUGAAACAUAGAACGAUUCGAUAGCUGUCUUGCACACACAUCAUGGUAAAAUAUUCAUCAGUACGAAUAAUAUGCUGACUAAAGUUUAUUAACACUAAAGGACAAAAAGACCCUCUGAAGCUUUAUAGGGAUAAAACUUGGGUAACAUUCUCAAUACAAAUAUUCUUAUUGCAUGCCAGCUAAAGUAGUAAAUUAUUGGUUUUCUCCUAAGACCACUGUUUAAUUGGGGCGAUAACCUUAUCAACAGCCACCUAAGGUGAACAAAGCGAUACAAGGAUCCUAAACUUUUGACCAACUAAUAAGUGCAAAGAUACAUGUUUCGCUUAAUGGCCCAACAAGUCCUUCCCAGUACUUAAAUGCUAUCUUAAUGAGCUUUAAAUUAAUUUACCCGAGUUAAGCUACUCUACGGAUAACAGGCUUAAUUUCCGCAAUAUUAAAGGUCACAUUAUCACUAAAAAUGUACCUCGAUGUCGGCUUAUCCUC